UCCAAAAUGCGGAUUAUUACGUACUAACAUUAAUAUUAAUAUUAUAGUCCGGGACAUUUCUAUAUGAGAUACGAGAUAUAGUCCGGGACAUUUGUAUAUGAGAUACGUCAUAGCGCAUACGUUGAAGCGAGACUAUAUAGAGCACAAAAACUAGAUAAGAGCUCAAAUUUAGGGAACUUGGUUGUUUGAUGUGUUUGACAGUAAAGUUCAGCAAAACGUACCAAAUGGAGAAACUUUCAAAUGCUUUGAAGUACCGUUGCUGGAUUACUGUUGAGGUUAUGUUUGACCUUGGUAUGACUUUCAGGUUUAAAGUUGAAAUUUGCAUUAAAAAUGCCAUAAAAGCCUCGAAGUGCCUUUUAGGGUAGUCAUCGUCAUGUGCCAAUUGCAUGCCCCCUCUCUGCCACAUCAGUAAAAUUUGCCACAAAAGUUUUAAAAAACGACUUUAAACAACAAAAAAGGCCCUAUUUUCAUUAACAAUGAGACAUAUCUCGCUGCAUGCGGCACGACAUAGGCCUCAUAGAUCAAUCUCAUUGUGAAUGGUUUUCGCUGAGAUCACUUUGAGAGGGCUUCACUGAGACUGACGUUGGUGGAAGGCUGAAACCUGCCUCGCGAAAGUCUGCACCAACAUUCGAAAACGCUGUCAAUGGCUUAAAAUGAUAAAUUGUGUUAGUUUUUUUGUGUCUUUUAGGAUUAGUCUUUGAGUCCUGUCGCGCCGCAUGUAGCGAAGCAGAUCCCAUUGUGAAUGGGUUCUUUAAGAAACAGUUUCAAUGUACACCACAAGACAUACACUGAGACGGCCUCAUGCCUCAUAUCAUGGCUUGUAAUUGACAGCGUUUUAUAGAAUGAUUUGGAAUCAUAGUGCAGAGAUUGUUGCGAGACAGGCAGGCAGGUCUCAAGCCUACUGCAGAUGUCGCUCUUAGUGAGUCCAUGUCUUAGAGAUGCAAGACCAAUUUAGACCAGUGAGCUUGGUGCCCGAGACCUAUGUCAUGCAGGAAGCCAAACUUCAUCGUGAAUGGACCCUUUUCAAUGGGGCUGUGCUUUUUGAAUAAAUUUGAAAUGGCCUUUUUGAAAAAAGCAGUUGUCUCUCUUUUAUUCAUCUAUUCGACACGUUUGUAUUCGAUGCACUUACACCAAUUUCAUUAUCAGUGUCUUGAUUAUCAGACAAGGGCAAAGUGGAAUUGGGGGCAACCCAGAAAUAAAAACACUUUAAUUUCCUUUAUUAGUAGGCUAUAUUUUUUAUACAAGACGACUACUCUCAGAUAGAGACGUACAAAAAUGUAAACAAGAGGAAAAGUUGGUUUUUCGCAAUAUUUCACACUAUUCUUCCACACGUCCACAGUAAAAUCAGAAAGCGCUUCUUGUUAUAAAGCCCUUAUUAUGUUUUUCGACGAUGGCUGAGACUUUGUGACGUAUUUGUUAAACGUAAGUUUUCAAAUACCCCAUGCCAGUGCAACGGAGUUAUAUUAACAAUUUUAUGGGAUUAUUUUUAACUUUACACCCAUUCUGCUUGAAACAAGAGUCGCUACCAGGAAAUAACAACGAAAAAAGUGGACCCAAAAGGCUUCAGCUGCAAAUUAUAAACACUAUCUGUGAUUUUUUUAAUAAUUAAUUAAUAAAUGUCGUGAACUUA
Tribolium castaneum (red flour beetle) is the source of this 1630-nucleotide long non-coding RNA. RefSeq lists it as uncharacterized. The record is from RefSeq and is a predicted model, not a curated record. The transcript has 2 exons. NCBI's taxonomy places the organism in Eukaryota, Metazoa, Arthropoda, Insecta, Coleoptera, Tenebrionidae.